This 253-nucleotide ribosomal RNA is filed under the name uncultured bacterium. RNAcentral's name for it is "partial 16S ribosomal RNA". It matches the Rfam family "Bacterial small subunit ribosomal RNA", at positions 524 to 776 of the family's 1533-position model. The record is from RNAcentral.
GACGUAGGGCGCGAGCGUUGUCCGGAAUUAUUGGGCGUAAAGAGCUCGUAGGCGGCUUGUUGCGUCGUCCGUGAAAUCCCGUGGCUCAACUGCGGGCUUGCGGACGAUACGGGCAGGCUAGAGUUCGGUAGGGGAGACUGGAAUUCCUGGUGUAGCGGUGAAAUGCGCAGAUAUCAGGAGGAACACCGGUGGCGAAGGCGGGUCUCUGGGCCGAUACUGACGCUGAGAAGCGAAAGCAUGGGGAGCGAACAGG